ACAUGCAAGUCGAGCGGACAGAAGGGAGCUUGCUCCCGGAUGUUAGCGGCGGACGGGUGAGUAACACGUGGGUAACCUGCCUGUAAGACUGGGAUAACUCCGGGAAACCGGAGCUAAUACCGGAUAGUUCCUUGAACCGCAUGGUUCAAGGAUGAAAGACGGUUUCGGCUGUCACUUACAGAUGGACCCGCGGCGCAUUAGCUAGUUGGUGAGGUAACGGCUCACCAAGGCGACGAUGCGUAGCCGACCUGAGAGGGUGAUCGGCCACACUGGGACUGAGACACGGCCCAGACUCCUACGGGAGGCAGCAGUAGGGAAUCUUCCGCAAUGGACGAAAGUCUGACGGAGCAACGCCGCGUGAGUGAUGAAGGUUUUCGGAUCGUAAAGCUCUGUUGUUAGGGAAGAACAAGUGCAAGAGUAACUGCUUGCACCUUGACGGUACCUAACCAGAAAGCCACGGCUAACUACGUGCCAGCAGCCGCGGUAAUACGUAGGUGGCAAGCGUUGUCCGGAAUUAUUGGGCGUAAAGGGCUCGCAGGCGGUUUCUUAAGUCUGAUGUGAAAGCCCCCGGCUCAACCGGGGAGGGUCAUUGGAAACUGGGAAACUUGAGUGCAGAAGAGGAGAGUGGAAUUCCACGUGUAGCGGUGAAAUGCGUAGAGAUGUGGAGGAACACCAGUGGCGAAGGCGACUCUCUGGUCUGUAACUGACGCUGAGGAGCGA
RNAcentral lists this ribosomal RNA (720 nucleotides) under Bacillus pumilus. RNAcentral describes it as "bacterial SSU rRNA". It matches the Rfam family "Bacterial small subunit ribosomal RNA", at positions 53 to 756 of the family's 1533-position model. Lineage: Bacteria; Bacillati; Bacillota; Bacilli; Caryophanales; Bacillaceae. The record is from RNAcentral.